This 811-nucleotide long non-coding RNA is filed under the name Vombatus ursinus (common wombat). Its description in RNAcentral is "lncRNA (ENSVURG00010013505.1)". Lineage: Eukaryota; Metazoa; Chordata; Mammalia; Diprotodontia; Vombatidae. The record is from RNAcentral.
GGAUCGCUUUCACGCCCUCCACGCGCGCAGGAGCGGCUGGAGGGCUCCGGCGCUGCAGGUGUCCAGCCAAGGGCGGUGUGGAAAGUUUGCGAAGCCUUAAGGGACAAGGGACGGACCUUGUUCUCCUCCGGGCUCCAGAGUAUCCGGGAGAAGAUCUCCUCCUCCUCCUCUUUCUCAGCCCGCGGGGGAUCGGAGCUAAGAUGAGGGAUCAGAAACAGCUGGCUUGCUUCUUCAUGACGUGUCAGGAAAACGUAUUGUGGGAGCUGAGAUGGUUUGAUUGAUGCAAGUUUGGAAACAAGGAGUUUCUCUGUUCAUGAACUCAAGAAGUUGUGAGUAAUUAAGAAGAUGAAGAAUGUAUGUAGUGUACUUUGGAGAUUCGUCUUCAGAUAAUGCACUUCUUUAGACUGAAGAUUCCAAUCUGCAUUUCUCAGGGAGAAAUUGGGGGAAAUGGAGACACCUUCCAGGAAAAACUACUGAAGAGGUGGUGGAAGAAAUUCUGGAAAGAAGAAAACAGUCACUGGAACCCAGCUAGAAUCAACUAAGAGAAGCGAUGUGAAUAAUACACAUUGACAGGUAAGGCAAAAAAAAUAACUCUACAGUUUUUGACUUUGGAUAUAUAAGCAACACCUACACAUUCACUCUUAACAUGAAUGUACAUUUCUUUGGCUGACUCUCUCUCACCUCAUGAUUUGAUCCUACUCUCCACAUCCUGAGACCUGAUGAGGACAAGAGGAGGUGGCCACUUGUAGAUACUCAACAGUUUUGAUUCACUUGUUUUGUUUUUAUCUUUACCAAUUGUUUAGCAAACGGG